RNAcentral lists this transfer RNA (97 nucleotides) under Nitrospirota bacterium. RNAcentral describes it as "Nitrospirae bacterium (hydrothermal vent metagenome) tRNA-OTHER". It matches the Rfam family "Selenocysteine transfer RNA". The record is from RNAcentral. Lineage: Bacteria; Pseudomonadati; Nitrospirota.
GAGAGGCAGGGGGCUGGUGCCCCGGCUGGUCUGCAAAACCAGUGCUGGAGCCGGUCUUGUUGGCUCCGGUGGGUUCGAUUCCCACUGCCUCUCUCCA